AUACUUACCUGGCAAGGGAGAUACAUGAUCAUGCAGGUGGUUUUCCCAGGGUGAGACAUCCAUUGCACUCUCAAUGUGCGUCCCUGUGAUUUCCCCAAAUGUGGCAAACUCGACUGCAUGAUUUGUGGUAGUGGGGGACUGCGUUUGUGCUUUCCCUGG
Molecule: small nuclear RNA, 159 nt
Organism: Suncus etruscus (white-toothed pygmy shrew)
Lineage: Eukaryota; Metazoa; Chordata; Mammalia; Eulipotyphla; Soricidae
Product: U1 spliceosomal RNA
Exons: 1
Source: RefSeq, a predicted model, not a curated record